This 245-nucleotide ribosomal RNA is filed under the name uncultured prokaryote. RNAcentral's name for it is "partial 16S ribosomal RNA". It matches the Rfam family "Bacterial small subunit ribosomal RNA", at positions 524 to 767 of the family's 1533-position model. The record is from RNAcentral.
UACGGAGGAUGCAAGCGUUAUCCGGAUUCAUUGGGUUUAAAGGGUGCGUAGGCGGGCUAUUAAGUCAGUGGUGAAAUCCUGCAGCUUAACUGCAGAACUGCCGUUGAUACUGAUAGUCUUGAGUAUGGUUAAGGUAGGCGGAAUGUGCAGUGUAGCGGUGAAAUGCAUAGAGAUUGCACAGAAGGCCGAUUGCGGAGGCAGCUUACUGAGCCAUAACUGACGCUGAGGCACGAAAGACGUGGGGA